RNAcentral lists this ribosomal RNA (465 nucleotides) under uncultured bacterium. Its description in RNAcentral is "partial 16S ribosomal RNA". It matches the Rfam family "Bacterial small subunit ribosomal RNA", at positions 338 to 795 of the family's 1533-position model. The record is from RNAcentral.
CCUACGGGUGGCAGCAGUGGGGAAUCUUGCGCAAUGGGCGAAAGCCUGACGCAGCAACGCCGCGUGAGGGAUGAAGGUCUUCGGAUCGUAAACCUCUGUCAGCAGGGAAGAACGGUCACUGUGCUAAUCAGCAGUGAAUUGACGGUACCUACAAAGAAAGCACCGGCUAACUCCGUGCCAGCAGCCGCGGUAAUACGGAGGGGGCGAGCGUUAAUCGGAAUUACUGGGCGUAAAGCGCUCGUAGGCGGUAUGUCAAGUCAAGUGUGAAAUCCCCGCGCUCAACGGGGGAAGUGCCUUUGAAACUGGGAAACUUGAGUGUGGGAGAGGAUAGUGGAAUUCCAGGUGUAGGAGUGGAAUCCGUAGAUAUAUGGAGGAACACCAGUGGCGAAGGCGACUAUCUGGCACACAACUGACGCUGAGAAGCGAAAGCGUGGGUAGCAAACAGGAUUAGAUACCCCAGUAGUC